AGUGAACGCUGGCGGUAGGCCUAACACAUGCAAGUCGAACGGCAGCACAGUAAGAGCUUGCUCUUACGGGUGGCGAGUGGCGGACGGGUGAUGAAUACAUCGGAAUCUCCUUUUUCGUGGGGGAUAACGUAGGGAAACUUACGCUAAUACCGCAUACGACCUACGGGUGAAAGCAGGGGAUCUUCGUACCUUGCGCGAUUGAAUGAGCCGAUGUCGGAUUAGCUAGUUGGCGGGGUAAAGGCCCACCAAGUCGACGAUCCGUAGCUGGUCUGAGAGGAUGAUCAGCAACACUGGAACUGAGACACGGUCCAGACUCCUACGGGAGGCAGCAGUGGGGAAUAUUGGACAAAGGGCGCAAGCCUGAUCCAGCCAUACCGCGUGGGUGAAGAAGGCCUUCGGGUUGUAAAGCCCUUUUGUUGGGAAAGAAAAGCAGCAGGUUAAUACCCCGCUGUUCUGACGGUACCCAAAGAAUAAGCACCGGCUAACUUCGUG
RNAcentral lists this ribosomal RNA (492 nucleotides) under uncultured bacterium. RNAcentral describes it as "partial 16S ribosomal RNA". It matches the Rfam family "Bacterial small subunit ribosomal RNA", at positions 29 to 507 of the family's 1533-position model. The record is from RNAcentral.